CCUACGGGCGGCAGCAGUGGGGAAUAUUGCACAAUGGGGGAAACCCUGAUGCAGCAACGCCGCGUGAGUGAGGAAGUAUUUCGGUAUGUAACGCUCUAUCAGCAGGGAAUAGAAAAGAAGGUACCUGAAAAAGAAGCCCCGGCUAACUACGUGCCAGCAGCCGCGGUAAUACGUAGGGGGCAAGCGUUAUCCGGAUUUACUGGGUGUAGAGGGAGCGUAGACAGAAAGGCAAGUCAGAAGUGAACACCCAAGGCUCAACCAUGGGACUGCUUUUGAACCUGUCAAACUAGGGUACGGGAGAGGUAAGAGGAAUUCCUAGUGUAGCGGUGACAUGCGUAGAUAUUAGGAGGAACACCAUUGGCGAAGGCGUCUUACUGGACCGAAACUGACGUGGAAGCUCGAAAGCGUGGGGAGCCAACAGGAUUAGAUACCCUUGUAGUC
Molecule: ribosomal RNA, 441 nt
Filed under: uncultured bacterium
Lineage: Bacteria
Description: partial 16S ribosomal RNA
Rfam family: Bacterial small subunit ribosomal RNA
Source: RNAcentral